GGCGGUGCGCCUUAUGCAUGCAAGUCGAGCGAAGCUUUUCAGUAGUUUACUACAGAAAAUGACUGAGCGGCGAACGGGUGAGUAACGCGUGAGCAAUCUACCUUAGUUACAGGGAUAGCCCGAGGAAACUCGGAUUAAUACCUGAUAUUCUUUAUAUUUCGCAUGAAACUAAAAGGAAAGGUCAGCCGAACUAAGAUGAGCUCGCGUUCUAUCAGCUAGUUGGUGAGGUAAAAGCUCACCAAGGCUACGACGGAUAGCUGGUCUGAGAGGACGAUCAGCCACACUGGGACUGAGACACGGCCCAGACUCCUACGGGAGGCUGCAGCAGGGAAUAUUGCGCAAUGAGCGAAAGCUUGACGCAGCGACACCGCGUGUGGGAUGACGGAUCUAGGUUUGUAAACCGCUUUCAGGAGGGAAGAAAAUGACGGUACCUCCACAAGAAGCCCCGGCCAACUACGUGCCAGCAGCCGCGGUAAUACGUAGGGGGCGAGCGUNGUCCGGAUUUAUUGGGCGUAAAGAGCUCGUAGGCGGUUCAACAAGUCGGUCGUGAAAGUUCAGGGGCUCACCCUGAAAUGUCGAUCGAUACUGUUGUGACU
Molecule: ribosomal RNA, 596 nt
Filed under: uncultured bacterium
Lineage: Bacteria
Description: bacterial SSU rRNA
Rfam family: Bacterial small subunit ribosomal RNA
Source: RNAcentral